CAUGAGUAAACAAUAAAAAAUGUAUUGUUCUUUCAGCUCUUGCUUCGUGCAACUCCCAGCUCAGGAUCUGUCGACAUUGACAAUGUUCGAUUUUGCGAUACAUGCAAUUAAAAGGUAUAGUGCAAUCUGUUGAACGACUUGCAUGUUAUAAAUUCUCUGAAUAUUUAAAACAGUCGAGUAUGCUACCGUUUGCAAUCCACUUUGAACUAUAUGAAAUAUGUGAGAUCUCUAUAGAUGAGCAAUGAUGCUCUUAGAACAAACGCAAAUUAUGUUUAUUAAAUGUGAUGUAAAGUCCGUAAUGUAAACAAACGCUUUGUUUACAUUUUGAACUCAGUGCUACAGUUGUAAAAUAUGAUUAGAUAUAUAUUAUACUGAAUUUUUGACACUCUUCUGGUUCGCUAUGCUUGUAAAUGAAUGCAGACUAGAGAUUCAAUUCAAGAAAGUUCGGAAGGUGCGAAAUAUUAACAACAUUCCAAAGGUUGUUCCCCCAACACCGCGGAAAAACGUCUGCACAUGCACCAAAUUAUGAAAAUAUGGCGGGGAAUUUGAAUAUCAAUUUCUAAAACAAAAACAUGCUUAUUAAUUGGUCAAAAAUUAGUAAAAUAAACGAGAAAAUAUAGCAAAUGGGUAGACUAGACAUUAAUUGAAAGCGUCCUGGCAUUUAAAGUAUGGAAUGAAAUAUAAUUCAUGUAAAAAAUGUUGAUUUUAACGGACACGACUUCGAAAAUUUUUGCAAAAUUAUUCAAAACAAAAAUUCAAACUAAAAAGUUAAGAAAACUCUCGAAAAGUUAAUCCUAAAGUUUAAUUAUUGUGAACACGAAAAAUUUUUAUAUUUGGCGACACAGUUUUUUUUUUAAAGAAAUGUAUCUCAAACGAAAAUUCGAAAAUUGUCGUUGCUUAGUUGAUAAACAAAAUGUUUUACACGAUAAAUUUGUCAACAAUCACCUUUAGUUCAUAUUCUUGUACAAUACAAUUUCUUGAAUCUUUUGGCUGUAUUUAUUCCUAGUUUUUAGAAUGACAUGUUUAUUUUUGCGCUCGAAAUCUGGCUGUAAAGACGCACAAUGAAGUCACUCCUUUUUACCGCCAUUUUGAGCCUCCGGAAACGUUCGGAACAGCUUCUCAUCAAGUUCGCAAUACUAUUACAGGUAAGGUUGACGCAUGCGCAGACGUUUUUCCGCGGUGUUUGUUCCCCCACUGAUGGAAUGUGUUGAUGCGCAGAAUAUAUGCGCAGAACGGACUUUACAGCAUCUUUAAAAUAUUGUUUGUAAAAAAAAAGUUUUACAUACACUUAAAAACGAGCAGAGGUGCUUUAUUUAAAAAAAAGAAACAGAGAAGUUCCUCUCUGUCUUACCAACUUCGAUUGCUGAGAAACGUUUUGUAGAGAAAAGUAUCGUCACAACCUGGAUCCGUACACAUGGUGUACGUUGUGGUUGACCCUGGGAAUAUGGAGAUUGGCUGUGUGACACGUUACAAUGACAAUAUGCAUUCUGAUAAAAUUUCUACCCGAAUCUAUUUUCAAAAUAGUCAAAAUAACUACUCGAACUAAAGUAAAUAACUUUUCUUGCUGUAAUUCAUUUAAUAAGUUGGCCAUAUCAAGGGUUUUCUGGGAAAAUGGCCAAUAUACUAUGGCCUACAUCUGUCCCUCUUUUCGCGUGAAAAACACACUCAAAGUUUACGUUGCAAAAUGUGACAUUUAAUCAGUGAAAAUUCACAUUUGCGUAUAAGCAAAAGUCAAACCUCUCACAGUUGAUUGCAAACGGUAGUAUACUUAUUUACGUUUUUAUUUUUUACUAGGACGUGAAAGAAGGUUGCAGUUCAUUAAAUUACAUUCAAGCACUAGACAUUAUAUUGUAAUGUCUUCAAUAAAAUCUACAAAAUAAUGCUGUUGAAGGGU
Molecule: non-coding RNA, 1894 nt
Organism: Paramuricea clavata
Lineage: Eukaryota; Metazoa; Cnidaria; Anthozoa; Malacalcyonacea; Plexauridae
Source: the annotation of a GenBank genome assembly